AAGUCGAGCGGAAAGGCCUUUCGGGGGUACUCGAGCGGCGAACGGGUGAGUAACACGUGAGUAAUCUGCCCUUGGCUUCGGGAUAGCCACCGGAAACGGUGAUUAAUACCGGAUACGACACAUCACUGCAUGGUGCGUGUGUGGAAAGUUUUUUCGGCCAGGGAUGUGCUCGCGGCCUAUCAGCUUGUUGGUGGGGUAAUGGCCUACCAAGGCUUCGACGGGUAGCCGGCCUGAGAGGGUGACCGGCCACACUGGGACUGAGACACGGCCCAGACUCCUACGGGAGGCAGCAGUGGGGAAUAUUGGACAAUGGGCGGAAGCCUGAUCCAGCAACGCCGCGUGAGGGAUGACGGCCUUCGGGUUGUAAACCUCUUUCAGCACAGACGAAGCGCAAGUGACGGUAUGUGCAGAAGAAGGACCGGCCAACUACGUGCCAGCAGCCGCGGUAAUACGUAGGGUCCGAGCGUUGUCCGGAAUUAUUGGGCGUAAAGGGCUCGUAGGCGGUUUGUCGCGUCGGGAGUGAAAACACCGGGCUUAACUCGGUGCUUGCUUUCGAUACGGGCAGACUAGAGGUAUUCAGGGGAGAACGGAAUUCCUGGUGUAGCGGUGAAAUGCGCAGAUAUCAGGAGGAACACCGGUGGCGAAGGCGGUUCUCUGGGAAUAUCCUGACGCUGAGGAGCGAAAGUGUG
Molecule: ribosomal RNA, 689 nt
Filed under: uncultured Actinomycetes bacterium
Lineage: Bacteria; Bacillati; Actinomycetota; Actinomycetes
Description: bacterial SSU rRNA
Rfam family: Bacterial small subunit ribosomal RNA
Source: RNAcentral